AAUAGCCUCCACAACCUGAAACCAAUCUGCAAUCCGGUCAUUUCACAUACCUCAAACCUGCAGGAUUGUUUCCAAGCAAACAAAACAAAUUCUACAUCAGUUCAAUAAUAAUAUAAGCCAGAUCAUUAACAAUGUAGCGGUUUAAACAGGCCUCAAAACCUACAGCUUGUAUUCAUUCCGGUCUUGUAACACAAGGGCAAUUGCUAUUUAGACAAAUGAUAGAAGUCUACGCAAAUAAAUUCAAGGAUUAAGCACUAUUCUUGUAUGGACCAUCUCUUUGGAAGAAGCUGGUCUACAUGACAAAAGCAAAGGAGUUUGGGAAGUACAGGAUUAUAUAUGUACGGUUACCGUCAUGCUAAGACCACCGGAGUAAUUUCAGACGAUUAAAUUCUUAAACUGACUAUUGUGCUUCAGCCUCAUCAAGAUACAAGCCAAGCACCUGUUAUUAAAAUCACACGGCGGCCAUGCAAUUUUGUGCAGAAUUCCAAAAACUUGACAAACCUGCAGCAGAAAGAAAUGAGGUUAAAGCCUGUCAAUCUAAUGGAGUAAUCUUAUGCAGGUAGGAAUACAUAAUCAAUGGAGGAAAGAGCUGUUGGUAUUAUGGCAGGCAACACCUGUUACAACUAGAGAGAAAAGGGUGAAUCGGUGGGGGAGAUUUUGAAAAGAAAACCCUAAAGCUUGGAGGCGGCCGCGAUCUCAAAGGAAAUAAAAGUUAAUUCGNCUUGUAUGGACCAUCUCUUUGGAAGAGCUGGUCUCAUUGACAAAGCAAAGGAGUUUGGAAGUACAGGAUUAUAUAUGUACGGUUACCGUCAUGCUAAGACCCACCGGAGUCAUUUCAAGACGAUUAAAUUCUUAAACUGACUAUUGUGCUUCAGCCUCAUCAAGAUACAAGCCAAGCACCUGUUAUUAAAAUCAACCGGCGGCCAAUGCAAUUUUGUGCAGAAUUCCAAACUUGACAAACCUGCAGCAGAAAGAAAUGAAGGUUAAGCCUGUCAAUCUAAUGGAGUAAUCUUAUGCAGGUAGGAAUACAGAAUCAAUGGAGGAAAGAGUUGUUGGUAUUAUGCAGGCAACACCUGUUACAACUAGAGAGAAAGGGUGAAUCGGUGGGGGAGAAUUUGAAAAGAAAACCCUAAAGCUUGGAGGCGGCCGCGAUCUCAAAGGAAUAAAAAGUUAAUUCCAAAAUCAAAGC
This 1189-nucleotide long non-coding RNA is filed under the name Lathyrus oleraceus (garden pea). Its description in RNAcentral is "Pisum sativum (pea) long non-coding RNA (PSAT_LNC000112)". The record is from RNAcentral. Lineage: Eukaryota; Viridiplantae; Streptophyta; Magnoliopsida; Fabales; Fabaceae.